GUUUGUUUAUAUUUAAAUGUAUUAGCAGUUUUGUCCAAAAUAACGUAGGCUACAUUAUAUUUUAACCAAGGACCAAAUGAAACACACCAGAAAUGUAGCUCACCCCUCUCAUAGGCUCAUUUCCAGAGAAACUAAUGCAGGGGCUUUUGUUUUGGGGACAGCCCCCCCGCCCCCCAACCAAAAAAAGGGACAAGAUCCUCAAGGCCCAGGUUUUCUUUCAGCCCAUCCACAGCAAUGUCUCUCUACCUUGGGAUAGCACCUGGCGAGGCAAGCAUGGCCAAGGAUGAGAAUUGGGCAUAAGCUUUGAGCUUGAUCGCAAGAUCAGACCGAGGACACCUGGUCAGCCUCGUCCACCCUCUUCAACUGCAGAUUUCCGGAUAGAGUGUCCGAGUCGAGUAGCUCCACCACACUGUAGGGGGCGCAAUCCUCCAGGCCCAGCU
Molecule: long non-coding RNA, 440 nt
Organism: Alosa sapidissima (American shad)
Lineage: Eukaryota; Metazoa; Chordata; Actinopteri; Clupeiformes; Clupeidae
Exons: 3
Source: RefSeq, a predicted model, not a curated record